This 483-nucleotide ribosomal RNA is filed under the name uncultured bacterium. RNAcentral's name for it is "partial 16S ribosomal RNA". It matches the Rfam family "Bacterial small subunit ribosomal RNA", at positions 28 to 507 of the family's 1533-position model. The record is from RNAcentral.
GACGAACGCUGGCGGCGUGCCUAACACAUGCAAGUCGAGCGGGGAUUUAAGUGGAAGUUCUUCGGAAUGGAGAUUUAAAUUCUAGCGGCGGACGGGUGAGUAACGCGUGAACAAUCUGUCCCGGACAGGGGGAUAACACUUGGAAACAGGUGCUAAUACCGCAUAAGACCACGGCCUCGCAUGGGGCUGAGGUAAAAGGAGCAAUCCGGUUCGGGGUGAGUUCGCGUCCGAUUAGCUAGUUGGUGAGGUAACGGCCCACCAAGGCGACGAUCGGUAGCCGGCCUGAGAGGGUGAACGGCCUCAUUGGAACUGAGAGACGGUCCAAACUCCUACGGGAGGCAGCAGUGGGGAAUAUUGGGCAAUGGGCGAAAGCCUGACCCAGCAACGCCGCGUGAGGGAAGAAGGUUUUCGGAUUGUAAACCUCUGUCCUAUGGGACGAAGGAAGUGACGGUACCAUAGGAGGAAGCCCCGGCUAACUACGUG